This 327-nucleotide unclassified non-coding RNA is filed under the name Eucalyptus glaucina. Its description in RNAcentral is "partial external transcribed spacer". Lineage: Eukaryota; Viridiplantae; Streptophyta; Magnoliopsida; Myrtales; Myrtaceae. The record is from RNAcentral.
UCGGAGCGAGAUGGGUUCCUGUGUUGCAUACAUCUUUAGACGGAGAUGUGUGCCUUCAUAGUCCUUUCCAUCACGAUUUCCUCUUGGAUGUUCGGUUGGACCGGAUAGUGGGGCUCGUGUUCCACGAACGUCGUCUCAUUCGAUCGUUCGGACGGAUCACGAGCGCCUACUCGUUCUCUCUGAUGCGGAACUCUCGUAAUGGGAGUGGGGUCAUUGGCCCUUGUUCCCUAAUCGUUAAGCGUUUAUCGCUUCACCCGAAGACGAUCUUGCCUUGUCCUUGAUCGCGCGAAGCCCUCGGGCAUCGCGCGGAUCAUGCUCGCGGACGUC